UGGGCUUCAGUAGCGAUCGACCGGCUCUGGAGAACAUGGCGAGGAGGGGCCGUCCUCCCCCUCCCGGGAAUCUAAUGGCUCCAGCCCUGUAGGUCCAGCCCCGCAGGUCCAGCCCGGGCCGGGCUCAGCAGCUCGGGGGAUGCGGCGCGUUGCAAGUAAAGCAGCGAGAUAAAUUCCUCCCGUGCCACAAAUGAAAAGUUUUCCCUCUGAAAUCAAAGGAUCCUCUGCUGAUUCAGCCCAGGUUUGACUUCGGUUCAUAAUUCCCGAGACCAUUAUCUCUGCCUUUGUUCUUUCGAGCUGCUACAAUUAAUGGAUUACAGCAGGACAAAACCACAGCCAGACCAAGCUGCUUUCGUUCUGCAGCUAUUUACUAUUAGUACCAGCUUUGCACCCCUCGGGCUACUGUGCUAGGGAACCCAGCCCUGAGUUCUGCACGGGGGAGCUGGAUGCUGUGGAGGCCACCCUGGAUGUCGUGGUCAUGGUCACCCCUGACACGGCGGGCAUGGGCCAACAUCUGCAUCAGUGUCAGUCCCCACAUAUGCCUGGGCUGAUCACGUCCACCAUACAUUCCUACCAUGGGCACAGGAGAGCCAAGAUAGGCUGAGCAUCGUAAAGUGUCAGACUCAGGAGAGAAACAACAUGUUUGUUUACUGAGUACCCUGAAUUACCCGUGCUCCAGGCAAGGGAUGUCAUUUUUCUUCUUCAUCCCACAUCUUUUCUUCUGAUGCUUAGUGAUUAGCAUACACCUUUGGGUGUGAUUUGUUGUGGAAAUACUGGAGCUACAGCCAAGGUUUAUGAAUUGUAAUUAAGUUUCUAAAAGGAUCUCUCUCCUCACCGGAUCUUUAGUGCUCCAAAAUACCCCCACAAACAAAAUGCUGUCCCUCUGUUUCUGUGGCAUGGAAUGUUUCUGAACAUGGAUCUUCCCCAUCCUAAGGAUUAAGAAGAUGGAAAGCCAUUAAUGCUUCCUAAGAGCUUGCAGAACUGGGUUUUGUGUGGAGCCACCAUUAGGAGUUUCAAGAAUCAGCAACUAUGUUGUCACAGUCAGCAAAAAGCUCCAGACCUGGAAAUAAAUGUAGCCAUUCCUCUUAGUCAUUGAAUUUGUUGACUCAUUUUACUCAUAUUUACCAAGAUUAUGCUGGAGGUUUGUCAGCAGGAGCCAUGAAUCACACAGUCAUUCUUCUUGCAGCACUAUGUGUCUCCUGUACUCAAGGUUCUGUGGCCCUGAUCAGUGAUGGAAGAAAUCAAGCAGAUGCCAAUCACACCUCGAGCCAUUCCAAGGAGUGGCCAAAGCCCACAUGCUCGUUUUUCUUUCUUUAGUUCAGAGACAGGAGAGAGUGAAACACUGAAAUGUCAGGGGAAACUGUUCCUCCCUUUGUUACUUCUCCAAAAGACUACUUGGCCUUUUUCACUGAGAUCACCUUGUUUAACCUGUACCUCAUCUAAUUCUGCAGAGAGACUUUCUGCCUCAGUUACAUGAUCAUUUGCCUGUCUGCUGUUGACAGUCCUUUAGAGAACUCAGUUAUACUCACUCGUCUUGAACAAGGUGAAUGUGGAGGGAGAAAUGAGAGAGUGAGAUGAGAAGAAAAUGCAGGUUUGUUGAAUUUGGAAGCAACAAGACACACAUCACACCCCAACCUUCUGUUGAAAUGAGCUUAUCCACCAUCCUUUCUCUAUCCUACAUGAGUGCCUUGGAAGGUUGCAGGAAGCAAACAUGGGAGGAGAACCCAGACUGCAGCUCUGAAAGAACCUGUACUGCAAGUCAGGAAGAUGGAGCCCAUUCUGAUUUUACACAUUUGAGAUUUCUUUCAGAGAAAGGGAAUUGUAGGGUAAUCCCUCACCUUCCUGGCCCCUAUUCCCAUCCAUGUUCUGCUUCCUUUGUCCCUUGUUAACAGGGUAAGUGCUGAAGGAAUAGCAAUAAGGAUACAAAAAAUGCCCAAUUCAGAAACAGUUCUCUUUGUCUAUCAGUCAUGGACACCGCAAAGAAGGAAUAGGUACAGGUCACUUCAUCUCUGUUUUUUAUUUCAUAGUCAAAGGAAAUACAAGCAUGCUCUCCUUAUUGUCAAGAGAGUACAGAAUUUCCUUUCCCUCUCUUUGCAAAGAGAAAACACUUGUAAGGCCAACAUAAAUCCAAAUAAAUUCUUGCAAUUCCUAUCCAUCAUAUCCAUCACCAAACUUAUAUCCUUAGUUAUUUUUCUCCCAAUGUAUUAUAUACUACUGUAGGAAAAAGGUGUUAUUAAAAUCCGUGCGUCUAUGA
Long non-coding RNA from Corvus hawaiiensis (hawaiian crow), 2254 nucleotides. RefSeq lists it as uncharacterized. NCBI's taxonomy places the organism in Eukaryota, Metazoa, Chordata, Aves, Passeriformes, Corvidae. The record is from RefSeq and is a predicted model, not a curated record. The transcript has 2 exons.